RNAcentral lists this ribosomal RNA (545 nucleotides) under uncultured bacterium. RNAcentral's name for it is "partial 16S ribosomal RNA". It matches the Rfam family "Bacterial small subunit ribosomal RNA", at positions 355 to 915 of the family's 1533-position model. The record is from RNAcentral.
UGGGGAAUAUUGGACAAUGGGCGCAAGCCUGAUCCAGCCAUGCCGCGUGAGUGAUGAAGGCCCUAGGGUUGUAAAGCUCUUUCACCGGUGAAGAUAAUGACGGUAACCGGAGAAGAAGCCCCGGCUAACUUCGUGCCAGCAGCCGCGGUAAUACGAAGGGGGCUAGCGUUGUUCGGAUUUACUGGGCGUAAAGCGCACGUAGGCGGACUUUUAAGUCAGGGGUGAAAUCCCGGGGCUCAACCCCGGAACUGCCUUUGAUACUGGAAGUCUUGAGUAUGGUAGAGGUGAGUGGAAUUCCGAGUGUAGAGGUGAAAUUCGUAGAUAUUCGGAGGAACACCAGUGGCGAAGGCGGCUCACUGGACCAUUACUGACGCUGAGGUGCGAAAGCGUGGGGAGCAAAACAGGAUUAGAUACCCUGGUAGUCCACGCCGUAAACGAUGAAUGUUAGCCGUUGGGGAGUUUACUCUUCGGUGGCGCAGCUAACGCAUUAAACAUUCCGCCUGGGGAGUACGGUCGCAAGAUUAAAAACUCAAAAGGAAUUGAAC